GGGCGGCUAGCUCAGUUGGUUAGAGCGCGGCUUUCACAUAGCUGAGGUCGGGGGUUCGAGUCCCUCGCCGCCCACCA
This 77-nucleotide transfer RNA is filed under the name Kiritimatiellia bacterium. Its description in RNAcentral is "Kiritimatiellae bacterium tRNA-Val". It matches the Rfam family "tRNA". Rfam says of the family: Transfer RNA (tRNA) molecules are approximately 80 nucleotides in length. Their secondary structure includes four short double-helical elements and three loops (D, anti-codon, and T loops). The record is from RNAcentral. Lineage: Bacteria; Pseudomonadati; Kiritimatiellota; Kiritimatiellia.